UAUAUAGAUAAAUAGCAGCUUCGCUAUAUAGUUGAAUAGCUAUUAACCACACUAAUGACUAUACAUAUAUAUUUAUUUACAAACGACCAUAUGCUUUAUUGGUCCCAAUAAGUUUGCUUAGUAAAGUUUACUUAAUAAAAAAUACUUCCGCCAUUUUACCCAGUCCUCUCGAUUUGAUACAAGCUUUUAUCGCCGACACUCGCAAGGGAAUCAAAACCAAUCAAACAGUCCGCUAUUUGUACAAAUGGCGGACUUAAUGCCAAAUAGCAUUCUCUACCAGUCAACCAUAGGGCCAAACAGACACAAUUGGUGCAGAGAGUGUUGCGGCAAGCAAGAAAGUUUACUCAAUUUCAUGGUAGAUGGCGCUGCUCUGCAUACAUCGCGCGUUCCGAGUUCCCAGCGACCUAUAAAAUCGGCGGCAGAUUGUCAAACUUUUUAUUUUUGCAAUAUUCUUUAACGAAUUAACAUGUAUACGCGUUUAAAUGUGAUAAUAUAAAAGUGUGUUGUAAAUGGCGUCUCAAUUCUUAUUUCACAAAAUAUGAGUAACGAGAGUGUACAGAGAGAAAAAAAGCGGCCAAGUGCGAGUCGGACUCGCCCAAGAAGGGUUCCUUUAUGACGUAUUAAAAAAAAGCGGCCAAGUGCGAGUCGAACUCGCGCAUGAAGGGUUCCGUACCAUUUAAGACGUAUUAAAAAAAAUCUACUUGCUAGAUCUUGUUCAACAUUUUACCACUUUGGACACACAUUUUACCACUUUGGAACUGUCUCUCGCGCAAACUAUUCAGUUUAGAAAAAAAUGAUGUUAGGAACCUAAAUAUCAUUUUUGAAGACCUAUCCAUAGAUACCCCACACGUAUGGGUUUGAUGAAAAAAAAAUUUUUUUUAAUUUAUUGACGUAUUAAAAAAAACUACUCACUAGAUCUCGUUCAAACCAAUUUUCGGUGGAAGUUUGCAUGGUAAUGUAUAUCAUAUAUUUUUUUUAGAUUUUUCAUUCUGUUAUUUUAGAAGUUACAGGGGGGGGGGGACACACAUUUUUUCACUUUGGAAGUGUCUCUCGCGCAAACUAUUCAGUUUAGAAAAAAAUGAUAUUAGAAACCUAAAUAUCAUUUUUGAAGACCUAUCCCUAGAUACCCCACACGUAUGGGUUUGAUGAAAAAAAAAAUUUUUUUUAAUUUUUAUGACGUAUUAAAAAAAAACUACUUACUAGAUCUCGUUCGAACCAAUUUUCGGUGGAAGUUUGCAUGGCAAUGUAUAUCAUAUAUUUUUUUUAGAUUUUUCGUUCUGUUAUUUUAGAAGUUACGGGGGGGGGGACACACUUUUUACCACUUUGGAAGUGUCUCUCGUGCAAACUUUUCAGUUUAGAAAAAAAUGAUAUUUGAAACCUCAAUAUCAUUUUUAAAGACCUAUCCAUAGAUACCCCACACGUAUGGGUUUGAUGAAAAAAGAUUUUUUGAGUUUCAGUUCUAAGUAUGGGGAACCCCCAAAAUUUAUUGUUUUUUUUCUAUUUUUGUGUAAACAUCAUAAUGCGGUUCAUAAAAUACAUCUACUUACCAAGUUUGAACAGUAUAGCUUUUAUAGUUUCGGAAAAAAGUGGCUGUGACAGAAUCGGACAGACAGACGGACAUGACGAAUCUAUAAGGGUUCCGUUUUUUGCCAUUUGGCUACGGAACCCUAAAAACUACUUAAACUACUACAUCUCGUUCAACAUUUUACCACUUUGGACACACAUUUUACCACUUUGGUAGUCUCUCGCGCAAACUAUUCACUUUAGAAAAAAAUUAUAUUAGGAACCUAAAUAUCAUUUUUGAAGACCUAUCCAUAGAUACCCAACACGAACGGGUUUGACGAAAAAAAUUUUUUUUUUAAUUUUAUGACGUAUUAAAAAAAACUACUCACUAGAUCUCGUUCAAACCAAUUUUCGUUAGAAGUUUGCAUCGUAAUGUAUAUCAUAUAUUUUUUUUAGAUUUUUCAUUCUGUUAUUUUAGAAGUUACAGGGGGGGGGACACACUUUUUUUCACUUUGGGAGGUUCUCUCGCGCAAACUAUUCAGUUUAGAAAAAAAUGAUAUUAGAAACCUUAAUAUCAUUUUUGAAGACCUAUCCAUAGAUACCCCACAUGUAUGGGUAUGUUGAAAAAAAAAAUUUUUUUUAAAUUUCAUGACGUAUUAAAAAAAAAACUACUUACUAGAUCUCGUUCAAACCAAUUUUCGGUGGAAGUUUACAUGGCAAUGUAUAUCAUAUAUUUUUUUUAGAUUUUUCAUUCUGUUAUUUUAGAAGUUACAGGGGGGGGACACACUUUUUUUCACUUUGGGAGGUUCUCUCGCGCAAACUAUUCAGUUUAGAAAAAAAUGAUAUUAGAAACCUUAAUAUCAUUUUUGAAGACAUAUCCAUAGAUACCCCACAUGUAUGGGUAUGUUGAAAAAAAAAUUUUUUUUUUAAUUUCAUGACGUAUUAAAAAAAAACUACUUACUAGAUCUCGUUCAAACCAAUUUUCGGUGGAAGUUUACAUGGCAAUGUAUAUCAUAUAUUUUUUUUAGAUUUUUCAUUCUGUUAUUUUAGAAGUUACGGGGGGGGGGGACACGCAUUUUACCACUUUGGAAGUGUCUCUCGCGCAAACUAUUCAUUUUAGAAAAAAAUGAUAUUAGAAACCUCAAUAUCAUUUUUGAAGACCUAUCCAUAGAUACCCUACACGUAUGGGUUUGAUGAAAAAAGAUUUUUUGAGUUUCAGUUCUAAGUAUGGGGAACCCCCAAAAUUUAUUGUUUUUUUUCUAUUUUUGUGUGAAAAUCUUAAUGCGGUUCAUAGAAUACAUCCACUUACUAAGUUUGAACAGUACAGCUCUUAUAGUUUCGGAAAAAAGUGGCUGUGACAGAAUCGGACAGACAGACGGACAUGACGAAUCUAUAAGGGUUCCGUUUUUUGCCAUUUGGCUACGGAACCCUAAAAAUUGACGUCCGCCAUCUUUAUUUCCAAAAUGGACGUCAUUUGUAAAAUUAGUACACAUACAUCAUACAACAUGAAAACUAAAAACAUUUCCAUCCUCUUUUGGGCAGUUGUGUAAGUCUGUGAUAACCCUAGGUAGGUACGGAGACCUUGAGCGGUGUCGGCAUUUACGCAAACAUCAAAGGCGUCGACCCACUGUUACUUUUUACACUGUGCUUUUAGUGUGUAAACGAAAACGUCACAUGAUAUAUCAAAAGAAAAGUUAUUUUAUCUUAUACCUUUAAACGAGCAAUUCUUGUAUAUAUAUUAUAUAUAAUUAUAUUUCUGUGAUCUCGGAAACGGCUCUAACGAUUUCGCUGAAAUUUGGUAUAUAGGGGUUUUUGGGGGUAUACAAUCUAUCUAGAUUAGUCUUAUGUUUGGGAAAACGCGUGUUUUCGAGUUUUCAUGCGUUUUUCUUUCGACGCAGAAUAUGGUCACUAAUUUCGUGUUGCCGGCCACUGUCCGUCUGGUCCAGCGGGUUAAGACGCGGACUGCUAAACGAGUGUUACGGGUUCGAAUCUCGCCCGGUGACUAACUUUUGUUUUUUUUUAUAUGUUCAAGUUUAUAUAUAAUUUUUUAAUUUUUAUUGUUUUACACAAGUUUAAUUUAGUAAAAAAAAUGACCUAUGUAAUAAGAGAAAUCGACAAUAGAUGGCGUUACUCUGUGACAAGUGCUGUAAGGUUAAAAUCGAUUGUAAAUAAUAAUAAUUGUCAGUUCACAUUUUACUUUUUAAGUUUAUGUAGA
Cydia pomonella (codling moth) is the source of this 3718-nucleotide long non-coding RNA. RefSeq lists it as uncharacterized. NCBI's taxonomy places the organism in Eukaryota, Metazoa, Arthropoda, Insecta, Lepidoptera, Tortricidae. The transcript is spliced from 2 exons. The record is from RefSeq and is a predicted model, not a curated record.